This 1517-nucleotide small RNA is filed under the name uncultured marine bacterium. RNAcentral's name for it is "bacterial SSU rRNA". The stretch from base 1 to 993 matches the Rfam family "Bacterial small subunit ribosomal RNA", at positions 529 to 1533 of the family's 1533-position model. The record is from RNAcentral.
AAGGGACUAGCGUAGUUCGGAAUUACUGGGCUUAAAGAGUUCGUAGGUGGUUGAAAAAGUUGGUGGUGAAAUCCCAGAGCUUAACUCUGGAACUGCCAUCAAAACUUUUCAGCUAGAGUAUGAUAGAGGAAAGCAGAAUUUCUAGUGUAGAGGUGAAAUUCGUAGAUAUUAGAAAGAAUACCAAUUGCGAAGGCAGCUUUCUGGAUCAUUACUGACACUGAGGAACGAAAGCAUGGGUAGCGAAGAGGAUUAGAUACCCUCGUAGUCCAUGCCGUAAACGAUGUGUGUUAGACGUUGGAAAUUUAUUUUCAGUGUCGCAGGGAAACCGAUAAACACACCGCCUGGGGAGUACGACCGCAAGGUUAAAACUCAAAUGAAUUGACGGGGACCCGCACAAGUAGUGGAGCAUGUGGUUUAAUUCGAAGAUACGCGCAGAACCUUACCAACACUUGACAUGUUCGUCGCGACUCUAAGAGAUUAGAGUUUUCGGUUCGGCCGGACGAAACACAGGUGCUGCAUGGCUGUCGUCAGCUCGUGUCGUGAGAUGUUGGGUUAAGUCCCGCAACGAGCGCAACCCUCACUUUUAGUUGCCAUCAUUAAGUUGGGCACUCUGAAAGAACUGCCAGUGAUAAGCUGGAGGAAGGUGGGGAUGACGUCAAGUCCUCAUGGCCCUUACGUGUUGGGCUACACACGUGCUACAAUGGCAUCUACAACAGGAAGCAAAACGGCAACGUUAAGCAAAUCCCGAAAAGAUGCCUCAGUUCGGAUUGCACUCUGCAACUCGAGUGCACGAAGCUGGAAUUACUAGUAAUCGUGGAUCAGCGUGCCACGGUGAAUGCGUUCCCGGGUCUUGUACACACCGCCCGUCACACCAUGGGAGUUGGUUCUACCUUAAGGCAAGGUUUUAAACCCUUGACCACGGUAUAGUCAGCGACUGGGGUGAAGUCGUAACAAGGUAGCCGUAGGGGAACCUGCGGCUGGAUUACCUCCUUUCUAAGGAUGAGUGAAAGUAAAAUUUCACUCUAAAUAAUAUACAUCGGUAAUGUUGACCGUCCUCAUUUCUCUUCUUAAAGUAAUGUUUCCUUCUUGUAGGGCCGGUAGCUCAGUUGGUUAGAGCACACCCUUGAUAAGGGUGGGGUCGAAAGUUCGAGUCUUUCUCGGCCCACCAAAAACCUAAAUGGGGGAUUAGCUCAUCUGGGAGAGCGCCUGAUUUGCAUUCAGGAGGUAGCAGGUUCGAUCCCUGUAUCCUCCACCAGGAAACAUUUAGUUAUUAAAACUGUAAAUAAAAAUAAUUUAUAUCAAUAUCUAUAUCCGAACAUUAAAAGUUAUUAUUUAAUGUUCAAAAUAAAAAUUUGAUCACAACAUAGAUAAAUUUUCUGUUAAAAGAAUUUUUUUCUGUGCAUAAAUCAAGCGUUUAAGGGCGUGUAGUGGAUGCCUUGGCACUGAAAGCCGAUGAAGGACGUGAUAUACUGCGAUAAGUUUCGGGGAGCUGUAUGUAAGCUUUGAUCCGAAAAUUU